GAUGAACGCUGGCGGCGUGCCUAAUACAUGCAAGUCGAGCGAACGGACGAGAAGCUUGCUUCUCUGAUGUUAGCGGCGGACGGGUGAGUAACAUGUGGAUAACCUACCUAUAAGACUGGGAUAACUUCGGGAAACCGUAGCUAAUACCGGAUAAUAUUUUGAACCGCAUGGUUCAAAAGUGAAAGACGGUCUUGCUGUCACUUAUAGAUGGAUCCGCGCUGCAUUAGCUAGUUGGUAAGGUAACGGCUUACCAAGGCAACGAUGCAUAGCCGACCUGAGAGGGUGAUCGGCCACACUGGAACUGAGACACGGUCCAGACUCCUACGGGAGGCAGCAGUAGGGAAUCUUCCGCAAUGGGCGAAAGCCUGACGGAGCAACGCCGCGUGAGUGAUGAAGGUCUUCGGAUCGUAAAACUCUGUUAUUAGGGAAGAACAUAUGUGUAAGUAACUGUGCACAUCUUGACGGUACCUAAUCAGAAAGCCACGGCUAACUACGU
This 496-nucleotide ribosomal RNA is filed under the name uncultured bacterium. RNAcentral's name for it is "partial 16S ribosomal RNA". It matches the Rfam family "Bacterial small subunit ribosomal RNA", at positions 28 to 506 of the family's 1533-position model. The record is from RNAcentral.